This is a long non-coding RNA of Gorilla gorilla gorilla (western lowland gorilla), 4528 nucleotides long. RefSeq lists it as uncharacterized. The record is from RefSeq and is a predicted model, not a curated record. Lineage: Eukaryota; Metazoa; Chordata; Mammalia; Primates; Hominidae. The transcript is spliced from 2 exons.
AGUCUCGCUCUGUCACCAGUCUGGAGUGCAGUGGUGCGAUCUCGGCUCACUGCAACCUCCGCCUCCUGGGUUCAAGUGAUUCUCCUGCCUCAGCCUCCCGAGUAGCAGGGACUACAGGCGCGCGCCACCACGCCCAGCUAAUUUUUGUGUUUUUUGUAGAGACGGAGUUUCACCAUGUUGGCCAGGAAGGUCUCGAUCUCUUGACCUCGUGAUCCGCCCACCUCGGCCUCCCAAAGUGCUGGGAUUACAGGCGUGAGCCACUGCGCCCGGCCUGAAGGACAAAUUUCAAGUGUGUCCCAAUUCUUUCUUCUAGGGAGAGAAGGCAGAAAUGGAAGACAACACAAAACACAAAGACGUUCUAUUAAGCAGGCGUUUCAUUGAAGCAUUUGAUGUGCUUCAGUAGGCCUCAGAUUCUCAAAACGGGAUGGAUACUUCAGUGAGACGUUAGAGAACACAUUUAUUCCUGUACAAGGCCACACCAAAAAAAUCUCUAUCAACACUGAACAUCUAUCUUCUUUACUGAGCAUCCUUUCUUUGGUAGGAGUGAAGAGAUGUGAAGCUAGUCAAACUUCUCGAAUGCCCCUCCACCUUCAUCUAUUCCCUAAAAAGCAAUUUCCCCAUCAGACAGCAGAGCCAAGUGGACUAUGAUCCUAUCAAUACCAGGAGAGGCAAGAGAAACAAAGCAGCGAUCUGACUCCUUGGUACUCAAGGUAGGAGUGCUAGACCUGGAGAGGCCGGGAAAUUAGGGUGCCCAAUUUAAAUAUUUAAUUAAAAAGUAUUCAGACUUAAAAAAAAAAAAAGAUGCAGAGCAAAGGAGUGCCACACUAUUCAGAAAGGAAUGCAAAUGCUGAGUCAUCACUCUUCAUUGGGAAAGGAAGGAAACCAGAAUUAAGUGGUUGGAAGAUGGAAUUCAUUCAUUAGAUUGAGCUUCAGGUAAAAAGCAACAGCAAGACAGGAGAAAAAGCGUUCAGAAGACACACAUCAAAUAGCGGAUGAAGACAUAAUUUUAGCCAACUCUGAAGGUUUCGACGCACAAACAGAUUAGGAAGAGGCAACACCUAGAGAGCAAAAGGAGUUUAACAACUGGUUGUCAGUUUAGCGUAGGGAGCGCUCAAAGUAAACUUCUUUAUCCAAGAAGGGAAAGAUGCUCGGGCAGCAAAACGUAUCCCUUAUGUACUUCAAAAGUAGCGGGCGCUAGGCGGGUGUUUCUGACAGCGUGGGCGGGGGCACGUGGGGCAUAAAGAGAGAAGGGGCUUGAGUGGUGAAAGAGUGUCCUGCUUCCUCCGAGAGCUUAGCUGGGGAGAAGAGCUGAGAGCGACUCGAGCUGAGGACGUGGAAGGGCCCACUCCGGACACUGCGCUCCAACCAGGAGGAGCAGGAGGAGGAGGAGGAUGAACAAAAUGGCCGCCGCCACCAGCCAGGCAGGAAACAGGGCAGAGCGCAGGCGCGACCCGCCAGGUCACCGCUCAGGCCAGCCGCGACAGCCUGCAAGGGGGACGACCGAGGGGAGAGAAAAAAGGGCCGCCGAGGAAACCCUGGGACCCGCUCACGACGGACCACGUCGUCGCUGUGGGCCUCUGGCCGGCCGAAGCCCAGCCAGCUCCGGGAGGGAUCGGGCAAAAAGAGAAACGUCGUGAAGCCGAAGUCUCUGGGAAUUGUGGUCCUGGAAAUGAGAGAGGGAAGCACUUCUGCAGAGGACUUCUGGAACCUGUAGUCAAGAGGAGCCGACGGCGCCCGCCCGCGCUGGGGCGUGAAGAGGAGACUUCUGGGUAGUGUAGUCAUACGUGAGGACGUGCGACGACCAGGAAGUCGGCGGGCUGGGAGGUAAAGGGAAGAAUAAAAGCGACAUUGAAAGGCGGGGAGACCAAGUGGGAAAAAGCGCUGUCUGGGAAAGCGAACUACAAGUCCCAGAGUGCCUCGCGCCGGGGGCUGUCCUCGGACUGCUCCAGGCAUUGUAAGGCUCUUCUGUUGGCCCAGUCUGAGCUGCUGCUCCGCCUUCGUCCAGCCCGAGAGCGGUUUCUUCAACUGUGGCUCAGGCAGCACUCUCCCUCCGCGUGGUGUCCGAGCCAGCAGGCCCGUCCGGCCCUCCUGUGUUCAUCAGAACGGCUGGCCCGCGUUAGUCAACCGCCGCUUCGCGCGACAGUCAGAAGAGAGGCUGUGCUGGCGGGGACCCGGAGGGGUUGGGGUGUUUUGGGGACGCGUUUUCCCACAAAUAGGUAUUUCUAGCCUAUUUGUUAAAUACAAGUAGUUGGCCUGCUUGUAAAUUGCUUUACAAGUUUCAGAGGUUUCCCUAUCAAGUGUCUCAUCGGAUAGUGGGGUAAGAAGAGCAGCCCUAUUAUAAUGACUUGCCCAACUCCCCCGUAUUCUUGGAGUUAAAAAAAAAAUCCUUGGGCAGAGACGUGCACAGACACAAAGUUGCGUUUACAGACAUCAGUCAUGUGGGCUAGAAACGCAGUUUUGCAUGAAGAUAGGGGAAGCCAUGUUCACACUAGCUCUGCAUCCCUGUAGAAUUUGUCUUCUCACCCCCCACAACAGUUCCUGGUGUGCUUUUUCCCUCCUCUAAGUACCUUCAGGAGAAAGUACUUGGUCUUGUAGCUUAGUGAAGAGUGGCGAUGAAGAAAGAUCUUUCAGCCCAUUGCCAGAACUUAACUGCCCCGGUUAGUAAUGGCUUAAGAGUUGCUUUUGCCGACAUGUACUAAGUGCAUGUCGACCUCUGCAAGUGGCGGUGUGUAUGCGUGCCACUGAACAUUAAUCUUGAAAGCAGAAUCAACCAUGCAGCAAGCCCUUGUGUUGUCCAUUUUCAGGGGAGGAAAUUUCAACCUGAAAGACUUCAUAGAGACACGGCAAAGGAGUUGAGCCCCAUAAGAGUCCGUAGGAACAACAAAAGGGCUCAGACGCCAGGACCCAUGGCUAAAAUGUAUGGGCUGGGGAUGGGGGCGGGAGUGGGGGGAAGGGAACUAAAGCUAGAGAGGACCUUGUAGAACCGUGUUGUCAAGAAUCUAUUUCAUGCUGAGGAAUUUGAGCUUUCUCUUCCAGGCAGUGAGGAGCCACUCAAAGGUUUUGUCUAUGUUUUUAACUGGACCUAGGUGUAGAACUGGAUUUAAUUAUAAUCCAAUCCAUUAACCCAUGCCUGGCCCGCUGUGAUAGUUUCCUGUUGAUGCUGUAACAAAUUACUGCAAAUUUAGAUACUUAAAACAACACGAAUUUAUUUUCUUACAAUUCUGGAAGUCAGAAGUCCAAAAUCAGUUACACUGGGCUAAAAUCAAGGUGUCGGCAAGGCUGGUUCCUUGCCUUUUCCAGCUUCUAGAGGCUGCCUGCAUUCCUUGGCUCUUGGCCCCAUCCUCCAUCUUCAAGAAAAGAAGCAUAGUAUCUUCUUUCUUCUCUGCCUCUGUACGUACAUCGUGAUUCUCCUGCCACCCCUUUUCAUUUACGAGAACCUUUUGUGAUUACUUUGGGCGAAGAUUAUCUCAAGAUUCUUGAUCACAUCUGCAAAGUCCCUUUUAGCGUAACAUUCCCAAAUUCUGGGAAUUAGGACAUAGAAAUCCUUGGUGGACCAUUAUUCAGUUUACCGCACCCACCUUUAUUACUUUAGUUUUGAUUAUAGCCACAAACCCACCACACUAAAAAGUUAUAAUGACAGAGUUUAUAUCUGUAUCUAUGCUAUACCUCCUACACACAAUAACGCACACCCCUGCCUUCGCUUGGGGUAACCAUCUUUCUGAAUCCUGUCUUUACUAUUUCUUGCUUUCCUUCUACAAGGUUUUAUUCCACAUGUACAUAGUCCUAAAAAUCAUAUGUAUAUACAUGUAUAUUUGAGUUUUUUUUAACUUAGUGAAAAGAAUAUGCCCACUACAAACUAGAAUGGUUAAAAUGGGCAUGUUUACUGGCAGUGAAAUUAUUAAGGUUAAAAUCCAAAACACUAACACCACCAAGUGCUGGUGAGUAUGAAAAGCAACAGGAACUAUCAUUCUUUGCUGGUAGGACUGCAAAAUGUUAUAGCCCCUUUGGAGGACAGCUUGUCAGUUCCUUACAAAACUAAACAUAAUGCCUAGGUACUUACCCAAAUGAGCUGAAAACAUGUUUACAUAAAAACCUGCACACAAAUGUUUACAGCAGCUUUGUUCAUAAUCAUCCCAAAUUGGAAGCAACUAAGAUGUCCUUGAUAUAAGUGAAUGGAUAAACUGUCGUACAAGGUGGUACAUCCAUGCAAAGAAAUAUUGUUCAGUGAUUUUUUUAAAAACAGCUAUUGAUAUGGUUUGGCUCUGUAUCCCCACCCGAUCUGAUCUUGAAUUGUACUCCCAUAAUUCCCACGUGUUGUGGGAGGGACCUGGUGGGAGAUAAUUUGAAUCAUGGGGGCAGUUUCCCCCAGACUGUUCUUGUGGUAGUGAGUAAGUCUCACGAGAUCUGAUGGUUUUAUCAGGGGUUUCCGCUUUUGCAUCGUCCUCAUUUUCUCUUGCUGCCACCGUGACUCUGAGGCCUUCCCAGCCAUGUGGAACUCUAAGUCCAAUUAAACCUCUUUUUCUUCCCA